UGAGAUUCCCGUAAACUCGAUAUAUGUAUCCGAAAAGGCGCAACAAGCACCUUCGAGGAGAGCUUAUGUGACGUUUUUGGCAGGAAAUGGAGACUACGUGAAGGGAGUGGUGGGAUUAGCAAAAGGUUUGCGUAAGGUCAAAAGUGCUUAUCCUCUUGUUGUUGCUAUGUUACCUGACGUGCCUGAGGAACAUAGAGAAAUCUUGAGGUCUCAAGGCUGCGUUGUUCGUGAGAUCGAGCCUGUUCAUCCUCCAGACAACCAAGUUGAGUUUGCCAUGGCGUAUUACGUCCUCAACUACUCAAAACUACGUAUUUGGAACGUAAGUGUAUAUUUCGAUUCUUCACAAAACCUUGGCUAAGAUGUAAUAUUAUAGUUUAAGUUCUUUGUGGUUUUUCCUUACCUUUAAAGACUUCUUGCAGUUUGAAGAGUACAGCAAGAUGAUAUACCUUGACGCAGAUAUCCAAGUCUUUGACAAUAUCGAUCACCUGUUCGAGUUA
Molecule: long non-coding RNA, 497 nt
Filed under: Capsella rubella
Lineage: Eukaryota; Viridiplantae; Streptophyta; Magnoliopsida; Brassicales; Brassicaceae
Description: long non-coding RNA (CRUB_LNC004075)
Source: RNAcentral